Molecule: ribosomal RNA, 425 nt
Filed under: uncultured bacterium
Lineage: Bacteria
Description: bacterial SSU rRNA
Rfam family: Bacterial small subunit ribosomal RNA
Source: RNAcentral
UCGAGAAUCUUCGGCAAUGAGCGCAAGCUUGACCGAGCGACGCCGCGUGCGGGAUGAAGGCCCUCGGGUUGUAAACCGCUGUCGUAGGGGAGGAAAUCAACGAGGGUACUCCCUCGUAGUUGACCUAUCCUAGGAGGAAGGACGGGCUAAGUUCGUGCCAGCAGCCGCGGUAAUACGAACCGUCCAAACGUUAUUCGGAAUUACUGGGCUUAAAGGGUUCGUAGGCGGCCUUGUAAGUGGGGUGUGAAAUCCCUCGGCUCAACCGAGGAAUAGCGCUCCAAACUACAUGGCUUGAGGGAGACAGGGGUAAGCGGAACUGAUGGUGGAGCGGUGAAAUGCGUUGAUAUCAUCAGGAACACCGGUGGCGAAAGCGGCUUACUGGGUCUCUUCUGACGCUGAGGAACGAAAGCUAGGGUAGCGAACGG